ACAUCAAUCAUUUUAAAUAUUUUGAAAUCUGAUCGUUGCAAUACAGUAUACACACGCUCUUCUACAAUCUAACAACUAUAUUUUGCAAUCAGCAAAAGUUUGGCAUUACAUUUUUUUAUCGCAUGAACCAUAUGAAUUCCAUGAUCAGCUUUUCAUUUGACAUGGAACUAUCAUCAAUCAACAGGUGCAUCCUUUUUUCCAGAAAUCAAAUAGAGCAACAACCAUCUCCAGAAUGAACAAUGGUCCCCAAAUAUCAAACUAUAAGCAUGGCAAGAAACCUUGUGCGUAUGUGAUAUAGGCACGCAGCAAGAGGAAUGUAUCUAUCUUUGUAUCUUCAAGAUGGAGUAAGAUCGAACACAGAGAAUGUGGCAUGAUGUUGUACGAAAAAAAGGUACAUAUACAUACAUAGUAGUAUGAGCUACAACCGUACAAGUAACUUGUGGGUAAAACAAUACAAAAUACUAACCUGUGUUAGCCAUUGGAGGGUGAUAAAAUCUAAUGCAUGGGAGAAGCCAACACAAACCCAACAGUACCAAGCUCAAAUUCAUCAUCCUCGAGCAAUCGCAUUCAUUUGGAAUAUUAGCAUAAAGCAAUCAGAAAUACACCAUGUUCUAUAGCACAAUUGCUGCAGAAGCAUAAUUACAAGUUUAAGUACAUAUCCUUCUUUUUAUAAAAAAGAGGUGAAAAGGGCAUAGUUACAGUAAGUGAACUCUGCACUUUGUGAAAGAAUAAUGAACCAGAGCAGGAAAUGACAGGGGCGGACAAGUGUUGCGCGCCAAAUAUAUGAUGACACGCAAUGUAUCUGUUAAAUACGAAAUAAGUUGCUUACAAUUUAAGGACAACGAACUGAAUAUAUUGCAUUAGCAAAACAGAGCACGGUAGUGUAAUGUGUGUACUGUACUUGUAAGAUCAGUCACUAAUCUGAUUCUAAUCUGCUAGGAGUUUUGGCUACAACAUCAUAUUGUAAGGUAAAAAGAGAGCUCUAAAGACGUUGUACAAUCAGCCUUAAACAAUCUCCCUUAGCACUGAAAUCGGAAACACACACACCAACUUGUUUGAUCUUGGUUUUUCUUAUUUGGUCUUGAUGGCUGCUAAUUGUUCUUGCCCAUCAUAAGCCGAUUAUUCUUCAUUUUACUGCAUUGACAUCUCAUUGGCAGUUUUAUCAACUGAUCGUUUUGUAAACCUUGGUCCUUGCUCAUGAACUGAUUUGACCUAUUUUAGAGUUAACAAUAUAAAUAUUUUAAAUGGGGAUGAUAAAUUGGUGAAGGUAAAGUAUUUUAUUUAUUUGAUAACAGACAAUUAUAUUGAGCAGCAGACCAUCGCAAACCAUUAUACUAAGUAUCAUAAAACCCCUUCUCUUAAAGUUUUAUUAAGAAUACUAUUAGCCAAGAAGCAUCUGGUCAUGAAAUGCAAAUUAGCAACAAGUGCUUAUCAUAAGGACAACAGAAGAAGCAUACACAAAGAAAGAAAAAACAGCUCCAUGCUUCUGAAAUUUGACAAAAUAGGUUGGCUUUUCUAGUUCUCGUAAGUUCACAAGAGAGAACAAAAAUAUAUGUAAUCAAACGGAUCAUCACUUCAAUAUAUCUGGGAAGUGAACUUUCAAAAAAAAAACUGGGAAGUUCAUUCUUACCCGUCUUGAGAAAUGUUAGAUUAAUGUUCACUAUAUUAGGAGAAAAACCUGCAAUGCAUAAUCUCAAUUAUAUCAGUAUGGCUCUUGUUUAUUAUCAAGUAAUUUACAUAAUCUAUCCAACUAAAUGUUCAUUUCUGUGACAUUGUAAGAUUAGCAGGGAUAGUUAUUGAUAAAUUUUACAAAAACUAAGAGACAUAAUUAGGUUUAUAAUAUGAAAAGUGAAAAAAAAAUCUUAUCUCUUUCUGAAAGAAUAAAUUAAAAAAGAUGAGCCAGCAAAAGAUAUUGAUUUUGCUUUACAACUUGAACACCACAAAAGGGAACAUCUUACAGAAGUUUGUAAACCACCUAAAAAUGCUUGUUGUUGUACUGCUCUCAUAAAAACACUUCAUGUCUGCAUUUACAUGUUUAACUUUAGAAGAUCAGUGUAAAAGGAAC
Molecule: long non-coding RNA, 2065 nt
Filed under: Triticum aestivum (bread wheat)
Lineage: Eukaryota; Viridiplantae; Streptophyta; Magnoliopsida; Poales; Poaceae
Description: long non-coding RNA (TAES_LNC024433)
Source: RNAcentral